RNAcentral lists this ribosomal RNA (460 nucleotides) under uncultured bacterium. Its description in RNAcentral is "partial 16S ribosomal RNA". It matches the Rfam family "Bacterial small subunit ribosomal RNA", at positions 338 to 795 of the family's 1533-position model. The record is from RNAcentral.
CCUACGGGAGGCAGCAGUGAGGAAUAUUGGUCAAUGGACGAGAGUCUGAACCAGCCAAGUAGCGUGAAGGAUGACUGCCCUAUGGGUUGUAAACUUCUUUUAUAAAGGAAUAAAACGAGGCACGUGUGCCUUUUUGCAUGUACUUUAUGAAUAAGGAUCGGCUAACUCCGUUCCAGCAGCCGCGGUAAUACGGAGGAUCCGAGCGUUACCCGGAUUUGUUGGGUUUAAAGGGAGCGUAGAUGGGUUGUUAAGUCAGUUGUGAAAGUUUGCGGCUCAACCGUAAAAUUGCAAUGGAUACUGGCAGUCUUGAGUACAGUUGAGGUAGGCGGAAUUCGUGGUGUAGCGGUGAAAUGCUUAGAUAUCACGAAGAACCCCGAUUGCGAAGGCAGCUUACUAAACUGUGACUGACAUUGAUGCUCGAAAGUGUGGGUAUCAAACAGGAUUAGAUACCCCAGUAGUC